Molecule: ribosomal RNA, 258 nt
Filed under: uncultured bacterium
Lineage: Bacteria
Description: partial 16S ribosomal RNA
Rfam family: Bacterial small subunit ribosomal RNA
Source: RNAcentral
GUCCACGCUGUAAACGAUGAGUACUAAGUGUCGGAAUUUUCCGGUGCUGAAGUUAACACAUUAAGUACUCCGCCUGAGUAGUACAGUCGCAAGACCGAAACUCAAAGGAAUUGACGGGCACCCGCACAAGCGGUGGAGCAUGCUGUUUAAUUCGAAGAUACGCGAAGAACCUUACCUAGACUUGACAUGCCGAUGACCGGUUUAGAAAUAAACCUUUCCCUUCGGGGACAUCGGACACAGGUGGUGCAUGGUUGUCGU